Long non-coding RNA from Helianthus annuus (common sunflower), 523 nucleotides. RefSeq lists it as uncharacterized. The record is from RefSeq and is a predicted model, not a curated record. Lineage: Eukaryota; Viridiplantae; Streptophyta; Magnoliopsida; Asterales; Asteraceae. The transcript has 2 exons.
UUGGGAACCCCCUAAAAACCAACAAACGAUUUCAAGCAUCCAUUCAGAAACGAUACAACCAUCCGGCGAUCCAAUUGUUCAGACUUUAGCUGGCGUCCGUGGUGAGAGAGCUUUAGUCGCCGGCGGCGGCAGCAAGAGAGCUUCGGUCGGUUCAAUUCUUGUUUACAAAGUUUCCAUUCUUGUUUAUUCAGAAACGAUAUCGCUUUCUCGAUUAUUCGAUACAAAGGUUCGAUUCGAUACACAUGAUUCCCAGUUCUAUUGAAACCUGUAAGAUUUUGCACUUAAACUCUAUUCCCGGUGCGUCCUGUUCGACAGGUUUCUUCAAGAAGAUUAGGUUGAAGAUUGAAUAUGGGUGAGCAGUUGAAACUGUUAGAAUCGUCUGAAACUGUUGAACCUAUAAAAGAAUAGAUGAUAUCCAAAAGCCAAAGCAUGAUCUACUAAUCAAGAAAUAUGCAAAAGAUUGAAUUAGUCUUUCCCCAAAGAUAGUAAAUCAUAAACACCUAUUCUGAACAUCUGUUCAAGA